AAGUUAAAAAUAAUAAAAUGUGUAGCUUCACUGUAAAUGCCUGCAAGGUCUGAGUACUAUUGAAAUCACAGAAGGGUCCAAAGAGCUGUGCUUCUCUUGUGGCUCAGUUUUACUUCAGGUUUGGGACAGUUUUCA
This is a small nucleolar RNA of Ochotona princeps (American pika), 135 nucleotides long. Lineage: Eukaryota; Metazoa; Chordata; Mammalia; Lagomorpha; Ochotonidae. The record is from Ensembl.